CAGCCGCCGCGGUAAUACAGAGAGUGCAAGCGUUAAUCGGAUUUACUGGGCGUAAAGGGCGCGUAGGUGGUUAUGUAAGUGAGAUGUGAGAUCCCCGAGCUCAACCUGGGAACUGCAUCUUAUACUGCGUAGCUGGAGUGCAGUAGAGGGUAGUGGAAUUUCCGGUGUAGCGGUGAAAUGCGUAGAUAUCGGAAGGAACACCAGUGGCGAAGGCGGCUACCUGGACUGACACUGACACUGAGGCGCGAAAGCGUGGGGAGCAAACAGGAUUAGAUACCCGAGUAGUCCCUGUCUCUUAUAC
This 301-nucleotide ribosomal RNA is filed under the name uncultured bacterium. RNAcentral describes it as "partial 16S ribosomal RNA". It matches the Rfam family "Bacterial small subunit ribosomal RNA", at positions 509 to 807 of the family's 1533-position model. The record is from RNAcentral.